CCGUAAACUUAAAUAGUCCUAAAACAAGACUAUUCGCCAGAGUACUAUCGGCAACAGCCCAAAACUCAAAGGACUUGGCGGUGCUUCAUAUCCUUCUAGAGGAGCCUGUUCUGUAAACGAUAAACCACGAUUAACCUCACCAAUCCUUGCUACUUCAGUCUAUAUACCGCCAUCUUCAGCAAACCCUAAAAAAGGAACGAAAGUAAGCACAACCACUGCACGUAAAAACGUUAGGUCAAGGUGUAACCUAUGGAUUGGGAAGAAAUGGGCUACAUUUUCUAUAAUAAGAACACCCCAUAAACUUACACGAAAGUUUUUAUGAAACCUAAAAACUAAAGGAGGAUUUAGCAGUAAAUUAAGAAUAGAAUGCUUAAUUGAAUAAGGCCA
RNAcentral lists this ribosomal RNA (387 nucleotides) under Cephalorhynchus eutropia (black dolphin). Its description in RNAcentral is "partial 12S ribosomal RNA". It matches the Rfam family "Bacterial small subunit ribosomal RNA", at positions 800 to 1374 of the family's 1533-position model. Lineage: Eukaryota; Metazoa; Chordata; Mammalia; Artiodactyla; Delphinidae. The record is from RNAcentral.